UGUAAAAUCCGUCCACAUAAAACUAAAGUUGCUAGGGAACGAAUAAAAACAAACGGCCUCUGAGGCCAAAUGAGAAAUGCGUUGAAGCUCUAACAGCUUGUAUUCAGAAUCUUUCUGGUGGACGUUUUUAACCAGAACAAUUCUUCCAUGGUCUGUGAUGCUGUCAGUCCAAAGAUCCAGCCUCGUUAAUCCUGCAAUAUGGCCAAGAAGAAGAAAGGGGGUAAGAAGCACAGGCCGCUUACUCUGAGAGCGGUUCAGAAAUGCGUGGACUUGACAGCGGAUGGCAGACGGAGGCUGGACCUCAGCUACAAAGGCCUCACCACGGUGCCCGCUUGUGUCCAGAAGGUGACGGACGUCAGCGAACUGAAUCUGAGCAGGAACCUGCUGAAGAAGUUGCCACCUUUCAUAGAUCACUUCGACAGCACCGCGGUGUUUGAUCUGCACAGCAACUAUCUGGAGGAGAUCCCUCAAAACAUCAAAAACCUCACAACGCUGACCGUCUUGAACCUGUGCAACAACCGUCUGACGAGCCUUCCCACCGAGAUCGGCAAGCUGAGCAACCUCCACAUCCUGAACCUGGGACUCAACCUGCUGACAACCCUGCCCACCUCCAUCGGCAACCUGAAGGAGCUGCGCUACCUCGGCCUGUCCUACAACCAGCUCACCGCGGUGCCCAGCUGCACCGUCAAGCUGAAGAAGCUGGAGAAGGUCAACCUGGAAGGGAACCCCAUCAAGUACCCGGAGGUGGCCGGAGUCAAGAAGUCGUUGAAAGCGGACCGUUUUCGCGUGGUCAAGGAGAGCCUUCUGUGUAGGAAUUGUCUGGAAAGUUUUCAAAUCGAAAGGGAGAAGCUGGACUCCAUGGACGGCUACGACACCUAGCGGCCGGACGGGGUGGUGGUGGGGAAGGAGUUUGUUGACUUAAAAUGCAUUCGCGCAACUCACAAUGAGCAACUCUCAAUGUUACGAUGGUUCGUCAACUAAAACAAAACUCGACGUACACAAGACGGCUGGAAGAACUCCAAGAGUAAAACAGAAAACCUCCACCCUGCGUCCAACCCUUCCCAUCACUCCGAGCUGCAGAGAAAAGACCCGACUUUGAGACAAGCUCGUCUAUAAAAAGCUAUGUGGUUAUGGCUAAAGAAAAACAGAGUUUCUGGUUGUGGGCUGGCUUUUGCUAUUUGGGUUUUACAAUGUCCUAAUCCCUCUGCUUGCUUUCAUUGUCCGCCAAUCCAGGGUCUGAUAACACCUGAUCAAUUUGAAGAGACAGACCCUGAACCACACCCAGCCUGUAACCCAGUCUCAGUUUUAUACCAAACACCGCCUUUAAUGGCUUUUUAAUUAAAAUCGUUCGUUUAGAGAUGUCUCGUUGUAGCUUCUAGUUUCUAUUGUUGCAUCUUGUGAGACCCCGUCUGUUAGUUUGACUCCAUUUAGCUUUGGACUGGGUCUGCUUCGUUUUGCCAGCUUGUUAUCUUUGCUGUGUGUGUAGAUGGUUGGAUGUAAAGUGUGGGCACACGCUCCCCCUCUGGGUCUUUCUCCCUCUUUACUCUGUAAUAAGAGCAGCUGUGGCUUACGCGAGGCCAGCUCUGAUUCGAUUGCAGUGAAACUAAGGCCAUUAUCCUUUGUACGCCGGAGGAGGGCCAAGCAGCUGCGACAAGAGCAGCGGCAAACGGCAGGCUUCAAGGUUUCCUUCGAGAAGACGGCAGAGAGUGGAAAAAUUUCACAGAUUAGCCUCCUAACAAGCAAAGAAAGGAACAUUUUACAAUUGAUACCGUGGCCAAAUCCAAUCAAAUUGCCCUUAGAGCAAACAGAAAUAAGCUACAAAGGUGAUUCUCAAACAAAUAUUAAUUUGUGGCUGAUGUCAAAAACUAACCUUGUCUCAAAAAUAUAUAUAUUUUUGUUUAUACAUAAGAGAUUUUAAAAAAAUUGAAGGAAUUGCCAUUACAGAUGCAAAAUUUUUGCUCAAUUUUAUGUCCAAAUAAAGCAAAACCUACUUUAGAUAAAAUUUUCAGAUUGCUCUACCAAACUAAUUAGUCUGUGUUUCAGGACUGGUGAGAUUACACUGAUCAUAAUCUGAAUUACCGAUCAUCAAAAGCUAUCUCAGUAGAUAACUGGUCUGUGAUAAUGGCCGCCAUUCAGACAGCAAACUGUAAGACAUGGAGUGCUGCAAGGCAGCUGUCUUGGUCCAAUUAUAUAUGCAAUAUUAACACUCCUGUACUUCUCUCUGAUGGUAAAUCAUUUGUGAGUUGAUUUCAUGGUAAAAAUGGUCGUAGGGUGAUGACUGGUCGGCUGCACGAUCAGACAAGGAUGCAAACCAAACUUUUUAUUGUAAAUCUUUUGAUGAAGACGGCGAUGGGAAGCAGCUUCAAUCAAAAGGACUGGCAUCCAUUGAUGUCUUUGCAGAUUUGCAGCGACCGCUUUUUUUUCUUCUUUUUUUUAAAGGCAAGAGAAAUGUUCAUAUACUUCAUAUGCAAGUAAGUUUAGUAAGAUGUAAUCAAAUAUUGCAUUAUAGAGAAGGUGUGUGUCAGUGUACCAAUUCUGUAUUAAAGAUAUUUUUUGUUGGUUAGCACUGAGACAAGGCCCUGCCAUCAUGCCAUCUACUAUAUACGAAAAAAACUUGUAAGCAUCUAGACUUUUUUACACUUUCAAGUCUGCUCUGGUCUAAGGGGAAAUGCCUUUUAUGAUUUAGUGGUGUACAUGUAUUGUGAAUUUAGGAAGAUUUGAUCAAAUCAACAAACACUUCAGGGGUAGAAGUUCUGGUCGGUUUGUAAGCUAGCUAGUUCCAACAUUUGUAAAUACCGCGGUCUAUGAACCCAACCUGCGUAUGCUACUUCCAAAGACAAAUUAGCUAGACUUAAGUAGAAGACAUGGCGAUACUGGCAAAGACAGCAUGGAAAAACAAUCACAGUUCAAUUCCCCUGUUCCUCAUUUCUGACGUCUGUCAUAUCGCCUUGACAACAGCUUUUAUAUUUGUCUGCUUUUUGAAACUGCUUCACUAUUCUACCAUUCCAACUAAAAGUACUUUCCAUUUUUCCAUUUUCAGUAUGCCCCUUAUUCCAGCUUAGCACCAAGAAUGUGACAGUCGUUCUCCACAUCAUGGACAUCCGUCUAUCUGGCGGCUCUUGAAACUCUCGACUCCUGCUGCGGCUCACGCCUCGUAAAUCUUCCCCAAACUCAUAAAUAUGCUUUGGUUCCCAGAUCUCUCAAGGCCGUCAUUAUCAAGUUACUUGGGAAAAAAACUUACUGCAUUUUUGCCUUCCACUCAACUUCCCAACUGUAGGUUUGAAUGCAGCAUUCAGCAAACGUCCAGCUUCUUUAUCCAGAACACGUCCAAGUGUUUGACUGAUGCAACUCAUAAGGACUCUUCCUCCUGAC
RNA transcript from Xiphophorus maculatus (southern platyfish), 3372 nucleotides. It is a transcript of the gene named leucine-rich repeat-containing protein 18, with no coding region annotated. Lineage: Eukaryota; Metazoa; Chordata; Actinopteri; Cyprinodontiformes; Poeciliidae. The transcript is spliced from 4 exons. The record is from RefSeq and is a predicted model, not a curated record.